This 216-nucleotide unclassified non-coding RNA is filed under the name Sabuloglossum sp. Its description in RNAcentral is "partial contains small subunit ribosomal RNA, internal transcribed spacer 1, and 5.8S ribosomal RNA". The stretch from base 1 to 46 matches the Rfam family "Eukaryotic small subunit ribosomal RNA", at positions 1786 to 1831 of the family's 1831-position model. The record is from RNAcentral. Lineage: Eukaryota; Fungi; Ascomycota; Geoglossomycetes; Geoglossales; Geoglossaceae.
AAGUCGUAACAAGGUUUCCGUAGGUGAACCUGCGGAAGGAUCAUUACUGAGCUAGGGUCUUUAUGGCCCAACCUCCAACCCCGUGUGAACGAACGCAUGUUGCUUCGGUGGGCCUCGGUGCCUGCCGGAGAUCUGAAUAUACUCUUUUAGUUUGUGUCGUCUGAGUACCAUAUAACAAAAUUGUUAAAACUUUCAACAACGGAUCUCUUGGUUCCC